RNAcentral lists this ribosomal RNA (213 nucleotides) under uncultured bacterium. RNAcentral describes it as "partial 16S ribosomal RNA". It matches the Rfam family "Bacterial small subunit ribosomal RNA", at positions 524 to 736 of the family's 1533-position model. The record is from RNAcentral.
UACGAAGGGGACUAGCGUUGUUCGGAUUUACUGGGCGUAAAGCGCGCGUAGGCGGAUCGCUAAGUCAGGGGUGAAAUCCCAGGGCUCAACCCUGGAACUGCCUUUGAUACUGACGAUCUGGAGAUCGGGAGAGGUUGGUGGAAUUCCGAGUGUAGAGGUGAAAUUCGUAGAUAUUCGGAGGAACACCAGAAGCGAAGGCGGCCAACUGGCCCG